Long non-coding RNA from Alligator mississippiensis (American alligator), 2909 nucleotides. RefSeq lists it as uncharacterized. The transcript is spliced from 4 exons. Lineage: Eukaryota; Metazoa; Chordata; Crocodylia; Alligatoridae. The record is from RefSeq and is a predicted model, not a curated record.
UCGUCCUCGCUCGGAAGGCGCAAAAAGGCACAAAACGCUCCAGCCAGAAGAGGCAGCGGGACAAAAGGCUGGCGGAUCCACAGCCUGACGGAGAAGAGGAGACAACAGGGAGGAGGGAACUCACACAGUAACCGAGAGAUGGAGAGAUCCAAAGAAUGCUGACUGGUUACAAACGGGCUGAAGAGCCAUCAAGUUAAGAUCCUUUCCAGAGAACUAUCAAUGACUGAGCUGGAAAUAGAAGCCAUUUCCCUGAGUUCCUGUUCAUGUACACUGUCCUCUAGUCUAGCCCAUCCUGAGGUGAAUCAUGACCAACUCAUCAAGCUUGCCCUUCUACAUUACAGGGUGAUUCACAGCCUUAGCUCUAUCCUUCUUUGCAAGAAAUUCAUGCAGAGUGAAGCCUCUCCAAAUCCAAACAGAACCAGUUGAAGAGAGCUGUCAUGAACAUCAAGUUGAAGCUCCCUUUCUUGUAAGUGUGGGUGAUAAGUACUUCAUGGAGAACAAUGGAUGCUACUCUGCCAGCAGAUUAUCCAAGCCAUGGAGAACAUCACAUGUAUUUUAAUUAUAGGGAUACUGUCAAAAAGAAAAUCAUGGGUCAAAUCCUUUGCUAGUGUAACUUACAACAGCUGCAUUGACUGAGGAGCUGACCCUUGACAUUUUAGCUGGUUUCCUUAGUCAUGCAUUGGAUUAUUACAACUAAAAGAAUUGUAAGCAUUUGAACUUCUUUCCUCCAUUCAUGAGGUUUAUUUACUGUUUCCCUUGCAAUCCAUCUGGAACAAUGGAAGUGGAUAGACCAGGUCUUUCUUUAGUAUCAGAAGAGGUACUUACUGCUCCUUCGUGCAAAGCUGUUGUAAGCACUGUUUUUAUUACUGACAUUAGGAUAAACUGGGUCUCAGCUAACCUGAGAGCAGUACCCCCUUUUGUUUACAGGCCUGCUUUACAGUCACUGAGACAAACAGCCCAUGGUUUGGGACAGAAGCUUUAUAAACCAGUUUGACCUACAUCAGUUAAAUCUGUUACUACAUUCAGACAGGUUUAUCUUAAACCAGUUUCAGCCAGUUUGAAACUGGUUUAUGUGCACUGAGCUUCUAUUCUAUUAAAGGUUUAAACCAGUUUCUGAUCACUUAAACCGGCUUAUAUGUAACUCCCUAGCCAAUGUCCUGAGAAACAGCAGAAGUACUUGCUUAGCAUGCAGCAUCAGCACCAAGUUUUCUGGGCCAAAUCCUCUAAAACCCCCUACAGCCACAGAAGACUGCUGAGGCUCUGCUGUGGGUGAGGAGAGGGAACUUGGAGACUAUGCAGGGGGACUCUGUAGCCCUUGACAUACAACAAAGAUAAGCUCCAUAUUAGCUCUUGAUAUUGGGCCAGAAAAUGUAUUUUGAAGACUGACUAAAAGGGUAGCAGGGUCUUGCCAGUCAAUCUGCAAAACAAGUACAGUCAUUCACCAAAAAUUACAUGAUGUUAUCUCAUGGGGUUGCCUCACAGAUGACCAGUGCUUCUUAGUGGCUGAGUCUGGCAGUACACAGCCUUCUUUCUAUUACUUGUGGAAAGGAUUUUGCAAUAUCAAAAUGUCCAAACACUAUGAAACUACAUCUGUCAUUCUCCUUCCCAGAACUUUGUGCUCACUGAAGCCUAAAACAAACCAAAGGUCCGCUCUAUUGGGCCCUGUUGCUUCAGGUGCUGCUUUAGUCACUUGUUUUCUCGGUAUAGCUCAAACAGGAUUUUUCUGGCUUCCCCCAGUUACAGUUAAAAUCUCCACACAUUUUGUCCUUCAGAAGUUCCCAGACAUUUCACCUGACAUUCCCAAGAAAACACUUCAUGGAGAAAUGUAAAAAAACCCACCUGCCACUCAUCUGAUUUAAAUCUUCCCUUGUUGCACUGCUGCAAUAGCUUCAGUAAACAUUUAGACAGACUGUGGCUAGCUCCAAAUUUCUAUUUGUUUGCUAAGACGUGUACAUUUGUGAUGAUUUGUUAAUGGUGGGCUUCACUUUGUAUGCUCUCACAAUUUUCCGUCAUUUCUUUAUCCUCCUUAAAAGUUAUGGCGCACUUAUUUUUAGACCUUCAAAGUUUGCCUCAGAAGGCACCUUGGUGCUUGUGACAUUGGAGAAAGUAGUUUAUUAACAGUUGUGUUUAGAACAUAGCCUUCUACUUAAGUUUUAUAAAAUAAUCCAGUUACUGCUAGCUGCUCAUUUUUUUAAAAAUAUAUGUGACAUUCAGCCCUGAGCAGUUUGCACAGGCCUAUGCAGUACAUAUGGGUUUAAUGGGAUUUAAAUGGUGCACAGGUAACUGCUUGAUCAGUGUGUGCCCCCAUAGAUACCUGAUCCACAAGCAAUGAGAGUUAUUUACAGUCCCCAGUUACAUGUUGGCUCGCAUUGGGGCUGCAUACCUGGGACUGAACAGGGGAAGGCCCAGAACUAAAAGUAUGAGUUACUAAAGUUCAGGCUCUCUAAAAGACUACUGAAGCAGGAGGGAUUCCUAGCCUACACUAUGUACUGGGUUAUACAUAGAUUUUGCAUUAGCUUUCUAUACUAGAGAAUAUUUCACCAUAGAUGCAUUUUAGCAUUCAUGCCUGUUAAUUCUGUAGGCCAGCCUUCCAUCCUUCUGAAAGAUGUCAAAUAAAUGAUUUUGAAUGGAACCUUUUGAUGACUCAUUAAUGAUCUUACAGACCUUUCUGUAGAAAUAGGAGGUUGUUCCUUUAUCUUUGGUCCAACACUUCCCCCUCCCUCUGGUGCAGCCACUUGGGAUUAGAUCAGGGAUGUGCAAUUAUUUGGGCUGGAGGGCCACUUAAUGAGUUUUGCUGAGCUCUUGAGGAGGGCUGCACAACCAACAGGGCUCUUGGACUGCACACCAUCCUCCCCCUCCCCCCACAGCUGCAAGGAGCCCUGAUGGUGGGUUAAGACAGGACAGAGUGG